This is a long non-coding RNA of Musa acuminata AAA Group (dessert banana), 2299 nucleotides long. RefSeq lists it as uncharacterized. NCBI's taxonomy places the organism in Eukaryota, Viridiplantae, Streptophyta, Magnoliopsida, Zingiberales, Musaceae. The record is from RefSeq and is a predicted model, not a curated record. The transcript is spliced from 2 exons.
CAAAGCACGAAGCAAGACGACAACGGCAACAUCGUCUCUUCCGCCUCCUCGCAACCGCAUGUCUUCUACGGCAGCAGCGACAUCAUCUCCUCCUCCCAAAGGCGGCAUGUCUUCUACAGGAGAAGGGAGACGCUUCUUCCCCGAGCCGACAGACCCCUUCUGAGAACCUUCAGCGACGUCGCUUUGCGGGCUGUGGAACCGAGACCUGGCUUUCGUCGACGCCGUCGACGGGGUGUAGCUCGCAACAGACAGCGCGCUCGACAGGCUGCUGUCGUCGCUCACCGAUGACCUCGUGACCCGGUGCCUGCUCCUGAUACUCGACCCGUCGUCCGCGGACCACGCGCCGGUUCCCGGGCUCACCGGUGUCUUCUUGCUCGCCACCGACGCCAGCUUGGAGCGUGGCGUCACGGGCGACUCGUUUCUGGGACUCGGCUUACUCUUGCUUGGGUUCACUGAUGCUUUUGAUGCCGGGUUAGAACGCGGGGUUACCGGCGCCUGGCUUGGUCUUUGAGCUGCCGACAGGAUCCUCUUCGGCUUCACAGCGUCGUGGCCGUGCUUCUCCUGCGGCCCUGCCGCCGUCAAUCGCUCCGACAAGCUCCAACCCCAUUGCAGAUUGUUCAAGUCGAUAAACAUCGGAGUCGGGGAUUUGGAAGAGCUCUUUCCCUGUCACGGACCCAACGCAUCGCAUCAAAAGAUGAGCACCGCACCCCAGAUGAAAUCGAAUGCGCAGUAGUAGUACCUGGCGGGCAAAUGCGUAGGUUAAUGCCCUCUCUCUUCUCGUGGCAGCCUCCUGCCUGUCGAGUAGCUUUGCCUCGAUUUGCUCUUUGGAUCGAGGACUAUCAUUCCACUCUCCGAUCUGUGCACCAAAAUCCAGCAGGUGAGCAACACGAAUGCAGAAGAGGAAGCCACAGAGUUGAUGAAAACGAUGGUGCAUGGAAACCUUCGCUUUCUGCUGCUCUCUUUCUUGUUUGAGUUGCAGCUGCCGCAGCAGAGCCUGGUGUUCCUCGGCCAUCCUCAUCCUCCUCGAACGUACCUGUGCCUGAACCACCGCCAUGGCUUGCAACCGGCGCACCAUGUUUGCGGUCUGAGACCCGACGGCGCUUCCAUCGAUUAAGUUCUUUAGCCUGAUCAGUCUUUUCAGAGUUCCCAUUGCUCUCCUCGCCUUGACACAAUGUGCAACAAAAGAGAUGAAGACGACGAACUCUCGAGCCAAGAGACACAAGAACACAUACCAGGAAUCCUCGGAAAGCAGCCUGGAUCUUGGUGGCAGCGGUCGCCUCACUUAUUGUCGACCGACCGACCUCCGUUGCAGCCCGAGAUGAACGCUUGGACUUACCAUAGUCUCGACAGCAGCUGGGGAUCAACGCUUUCUUGAGGGCAGAAGUCCACUUCCUCCUCCCCUCCAUGUUCUUGCUUUCUCCUCCUCUCGGUCUACUAUAUCCUUUUGUUAGGUGACUCUUGUCCGCAAACCUUCAUGCACGAACAGCAAUAUAUCAAAUCCUGUGAGAGCAUAUAUAUAUAUAUAUAUCAUAUUUGAAUUAGAUUUCAGCUCCGGGAAAGAGAAGAACGAAUCACAGCGGAAGUGAGAGGAGGGGCGACGGCAGCAGAAGAUCAAAUUGGGAGCAGAGGAACGAGAGAAGCUUUCCAGAAUCCAGAGCCAUCACCUCGUGCGCGGCGGCGAAGCAGCGGGAGUCCGGUGCUUGUUCCUGGACGAAUGGCGGGGUGCCGGGGGGGUUGGGGUGCGGAUGGCGUCCUUAUUGAAGCCGCAGCAGCUUCCCCCUCUCCCUCCCUCCUCCACCGCUCCUCUUCCUCCUUCGAGCUGUCACUUGUUCUCCGUUUUAAGGAUCCUCUCUCUGUGCGUAUCUAAACUAAGGUGUCGCCCGUGUUUAGGCCUCCUUUGUUGAGGCGGUCGUUCACGUCGGGGCGAUGGUUGUCGUCGCCACGAUGGCUUCUGGUGUAUGAUACGAGUAUAUGCUCGUUGACUGGUUCUGCUGGGGAUCGAACGGACCGAGUGGAGUUCGCUGUCUUCCCUCCGUCAGCGUUCUGCGUUCUCGUCACCACCCGACCCGCCUCAUUCAUUAGCUGACGUCAAGAUAUCCCUCGUGACGUCAUCCGAUUUGGCCCGGUCGGAUCGGAGCACCACCAACAGCGAACCGGGUUCAUGCUGACGACAUUGCACCAUCAUGUGGUUAUCAUUGACCAAGUGGGGAAACAUAGGAUUAAAGAUCUGGAGAUCUUGAAAUCACCUGUAUAAAUUCAUUUUUCUCAACAAAUAUGAGAUCGUGAAUGUUCAUUUUAA